This 27-nucleotide non-coding RNA is filed under the name Rattus norvegicus (Norway rat). The record is from RNAcentral. Lineage: Eukaryota; Metazoa; Chordata; Mammalia; Rodentia; Muridae.
UCCAAUGCCUAGCAGUCCAAAGCACCU